CUCAGAUUGAACGCUGGCGGCAGGCCUAACACAUGCAAGUCGAAUGGUAACAGGAAACAGCUUGCUGUUUCGCUGACGAGUGGCGGACGGGUGAGUAAUGUCUGGGAAACUGCCUGAUGGAGGGGAUAACUACUGGAAACGGUAGCUAAUACCGCAUAACGUCGCAAGACCAAAGAGGGGGACCUUCGGGCCUCUUGCCAUCAGAUGUGCCCAGAUGGGAUUAGCUAGUAGGUGGGGUAACGGCUCACCUAGGCGACGAUCCCUAGCUGGUCUGAGAGGAUGACCAGCCACACUGGAACUGAGACACGGUCCAGACUCCUACGGGAGGCAGCAGUGGGGAAUAUUGCACAAUGGGCGCAAGCCUGAUGCAGCCAUGCCGCGUGUAUGAAGAAGGCCUUCGGGUUGUAAAGUACUUUCAGCGGGGAGGAAGGGAGUAAAGUUAAUACCUUUGCUCAUUGACGUUACCCGCAGAAGAAGCACCGGCUAACUCCGUG
Molecule: ribosomal RNA, 494 nt
Filed under: uncultured bacterium
Lineage: Bacteria
Description: bacterial SSU rRNA
Rfam family: Bacterial small subunit ribosomal RNA
Source: RNAcentral